GUCGUAACAAGGUUUCCGUAGGUGAACCUGCGGAAGGAUCAUCAA
RNAcentral lists this ribosomal RNA (45 nucleotides) under Panonychus citri (citrus red mite). RNAcentral describes it as "partial 18S ribosomal RNA". It matches the Rfam family "Eukaryotic small subunit ribosomal RNA", at positions 1788 to 1831 of the family's 1831-position model. The record is from RNAcentral. Lineage: Eukaryota; Metazoa; Arthropoda; Arachnida; Trombidiformes; Tetranychidae.